RNAcentral lists this ribosomal RNA (497 nucleotides) under uncultured bacterium. Its description in RNAcentral is "partial 16S ribosomal RNA". It matches the Rfam family "Bacterial small subunit ribosomal RNA", at positions 28 to 507 of the family's 1533-position model. The record is from RNAcentral.
GAUGAACGCUGGCGGCGUGCCUAAUACAUGCAAGUCGAGCGAACGGACGAGAAGCUUGCUUCUCUGAUGUUAGCGGCGGACGGGUGAGUAACACGUGGAUAACCUACCUAUAAGACUGGGAUAACUUCGGGAAAACGGAGCUAAUACCGGAUAAUAUUUUGAACCGCAUGGUUCAAAAGUGAAAGACGGUCUUGCUGUCACUUAUAGAUGGAUCCGCGCUGCAUUAGCUAGUUGGUAAGGUAACGGCUUACCAAGGCAACGAUGCAUAGCCGACCUGAGAGGGUGAUCGGCCACACUGGAACUGAGACACGGUCCAGACUCCUACGGGAGGCAGCAGUAGGGAAUCUUCCGCAAUGGGCGAAAGCCUGACGGAGCAACGCCGCGUGAGUGAUGAAGGUCUUCGGAUCGUAAAACUCUGUUAUUAGGGAAGAACAUAUGUGUAAGUAACUGUGCACAUCUUGACGGUACCUAAUCAGAAAGCCACGGCUAACUACGUG